This is a non-coding RNA of Danio rerio (zebrafish), 54 nucleotides long. The record is from Rfam. NCBI's taxonomy places the organism in Eukaryota, Metazoa, Chordata, Actinopteri, Cypriniformes, Danionidae.
CUUGUCCUCAUUUGCAAGUUGCUUUGGAUAAAAGCGUCUGCUAAAUGACUAAAU